Molecule: long non-coding RNA, 1435 nt
Organism: Spinacia oleracea (spinach)
Lineage: Eukaryota; Viridiplantae; Streptophyta; Magnoliopsida; Caryophyllales; Amaranthaceae
Exons: 2
Source: RefSeq, a predicted model, not a curated record
AAGAGAAAGAAAUUCCAAGCCUCUCACUUCUAUCUCUCCUUCACGUGUUUCCCCUCCCCUCUCUCUCUUCACCUUGAUUCCCUCUCCUCUGUCCGGCGAUGCUGCCGCCACGCCGCCGACCCCCUUGGUGCUUCUCUCACCGGCGGAGUUGUUGUUCUUGUUGUUGAUUGUUUCUGUCGCUGCCUUGCUUACUCCCCGCCAGCCCUCCUCCUCUCGCCAGUCUCUCCCCUCUCUCAUUCUAGUUCAUGCCGCCGGCUAUGGUGGUUGAUGGUCACCAACAUCCUAACUCCACCAUUGAAUGGUAAGUCCCUCUCUUAUUUGAAUCAAUUGAUUUUGAAUUAGGAAUCUAGAAACCCUAACUAAAUAAUUUUUAUCUUUUUGGGUGUUCCGGCUUCGGUGUUGCCGUUUUGGUGGUGAUACCAUCUCUUGUGUGAGUGUUGGUUGUCUUGGUUUUGUUUCUUUUCUCUUGUUCUCCCCUGCUCUCCCGUGUCACCUCUCUGGCUCCUCCGCCAGGCUCGCCGGACCACCAGCCCCGUGGUCGGAGUUGUGCCGUUUUAUUUUUCUAUUGUUGUUGAUGCCCUUGUUGCUAAUACUCUGCCUUCUAUUUGUCUCAAGGGUACAAUUCUAACCUAAAAUUUAUUCCGUUAAUUUCAAUUUCAUCUAAUUUAACUUUAUGACUAUAAGAAUAUAAUUUACAACCAUAUUAUUGUUUUGAUUACAUAGAAAUGAUUUGAAUUAUUGAAUUAAGCCGAUUUUGAUAAUAUGUUUGAGUGAUUUAGAUUAAUGUUUAUUGAUACAAGGAAGGGUUAUAGUAUAAAAAUAUAGAGUUUUCCUCAACUGUUUUUAUUAAUCAAAUAUAUAUUAUAAUUAUGGUUUCAAUCAUGAUUCAUGUCUAGCAACCCAAAUCAGUUUUCUUGUGGUAGAAUAAUUUCAUGGUAAUUUCAAACUAAGCUUUCGAAAAUCAUUUAAGAUUCUAAAGAAUUCAUCAAGUCCUAGUUGAUUCUAGUGAGUAGCUUAUUGAUUCAAGCUUUUCUGGAUGAGGUCAAUGAUUGGAGAAGGGAUGAGGAGAUUUGAAUCAUGGACUUAAGUGGAGAGCGAUGAUCAAAUGAGGCUUGGGAUUUAUGUGUAACGAUUCGAGGUUGGAUGUGUAUACUCAGAUUUCCGCUGAUUUUGUUCAAUGAACCUGUCCUGGUGGGGGGAAGAGUAAAAAUGUUUCCCAGGUAGCGGGAAUCGAGUCUUAGUGCACGUUCAAGGUGCGUAGAGUCCUCCAGAGGGCUUAUAUGUUUCAAGGCGGGUUUAUGGAUUCUCCAUGUGUAUUUAAGAUUUACCCAAUUUAUUAAUGAGUUGUAUUAUUCCUUUCUAGAGCUUUUUGGUUCAUUAUUUAUGGAUUUUAUAUCCGUAUUGGAGUUCUAAUUAAGUUAAGUGUCGUUGACGA